UGAGGAAUAUUCCACAAUGGGCGAAAGCCUGAUGGAGCGACGCCGCGUGAGGGAAGAAGCCUUUCGGGGUGUAAACCUCUUUUUUAUGGGAUGACACGGGCGCAUAGCGAUAUGCGUUCUAGGACAGUACCAUAAGAAUAAGCCUCGGCUAACUACGUGCCAGCAGCCGCGGUAAUACGUAGGAGGCGAGCGUUGUCCGGAUUUAUUGGGCGUAAAGCGCGCGCAGGCGGCACACCAAGUACGAAGUGAAAUCUCCCUGCUCAACGGGGAGGGUGCUUAGUAAACUGGUGAGCUAGAGGACGGUAGAGGGGGGUAGAACUGCUGGUGUAGCGGUGAAAUGCGUAGAGAUCAGCAAGAAUACCCGUGGCGAAGGCGGCCCCCUGGGCCGAACCUGACGCUGAGGCGCGAAGGCUGGGGGAGCGAACGGGAUUAGAUACCCGCGUAGUCC
RNAcentral lists this ribosomal RNA (448 nucleotides) under uncultured bacterium. RNAcentral describes it as "bacterial SSU rRNA". It matches the Rfam family "Bacterial small subunit ribosomal RNA", at positions 355 to 796 of the family's 1533-position model. The record is from RNAcentral.